Molecule: long non-coding RNA, 2265 nt
Organism: Micropterus salmoides (largemouth bass)
Lineage: Eukaryota; Metazoa; Chordata; Actinopteri; Centrarchiformes; Centrarchidae
Exons: 3
Source: RefSeq, a predicted model, not a curated record
CUUGAGUUGCAGCAGCAGCAGCAUAACUAUGUGGAGGCAAUCUCCAGACACAAGAGGAGGAUAAAAUACUGAUGAGUGAGACAAAAGGCAAUGCAGAGCAUCUCCUGAAUGGGUAAGGAACUACUACAGACUGGCAGACAGAUGGAACAGUGCCCCCAGCUGGAGGUGCCAAGGGUGACCACAUCAGGCCCAGACACAAGCUUCUACCAAGGGAGCAAGGGUGAUCAGAAUACUGAGUGAUCUCGGGGCACAGAGAAAAUACUUUCUACAUUCUGAGAGAAGAAGAAUAUUUUUACUCAAACUUUCUUUAGCUUGCCUUUAUUCAUACAAUUUUGGGAAUCAAUUAAACCUUUCUGGUGAUAAAAUAUAAUCAUAUAUCUGUGCUGCAUUUCCUGCUGGGUUUAAUCAACUACUGUGAAAUGUUUAAUGGAAACAAACACUGUAUGCUACGGUCCAUGGUUCAUGUUUGGAUAUGUAAAUGAGGUUUGUGUAUGAUUGCCUUGCCACAAUGUUAUUCCACCUCCUUCCGCUGGAGGGGUGCCCUCCACAUGCUUGGUCUGGUGGAAAGCGUCUCCAUAGAAACCAAGACCACGGUGGCACAUGGGCUUAGGGGGGUGACUGGGCAAAUGUUUUUUCUUUUGGAGAACAAUGACGCUAGGGUGCACUGGCGCUGGGCUCCAAUAGAGAGCAUCAAGCAGGGAUAUUGAGAGUUGAACAACAGGCACUUACUUUUACCUCAUUUAAAGAGCAUUUACACACCCAGUGAUAAAGAUAAAUAAAUGUAUUCAUGUAUUCAAUGCGUAACAAGUGGAUUUACGUGUUUGUGUGUGUGCCAUGCCACUGUGCACGUGGUGGUGUAGUACCUCGACAUUUAACUGAAAAAAUGUGACAAUUGUUUAAGACAUUUUAGCACAAACUCAAAACAACUUAUCUAAAUGUGUUUUUAUUUUCAAAAUGGUACCAAAUCUGGAUGAUGAACGUAGAUAAUUAUUGAAUAAUGAACUUAAUUUAAGUAUACGUUUUUGCAAAUCUUGGGUCAUUUAUGGAGUAGUUACGCAUAUGUAAACUGCCAAGAGAAAAAAUAAAGUAAGACGCGUAUCUGUCUGCCUCUGAUAUUCAGUAAAUGUUGAUGCUAAGAUGUCAGGCCGAUCUUUCACCCUUCAUUUCCGCUUUUCUUCUCUCUGUCUUCUUUUAUUUUUCCCCUCCUACUGCUCUCAUUUUCUCACUGUCUCAAUACUUAAUAUCCUGACUACUAUCUACCUCCCAUCCAGGAUUAUGAUAAAGCACGCAGCAAAGAGAACUCAGAAGACCCAUCAGGGAAAUCUGACUUUCCCAUUCUAAUCUAUGCAGAGUGAAGGGCUUUUGGUUCUGCACUGAUUUUGAACAUCACUCCCAGGCCUAGUGAAGAUGAUCCAUCCAGGGUGUACCUUCCUCUUGCCCAGUAUAAGCUGGGAUAUGCCAGUCCCUGUGGAUUCUGACCAGGGUGUGUGAUUUUAAAAAAAUGGACGGAUGGAUGCUUCAAGCAGCCUUUUUCAUGCAUGUAUUAGUUACCAUAGGACACACCAGGUUUCACUUCCAUACCCAUUCAUCUAAUCUUUGACAAUUGCCAUAUUCAAGGCUUGGUUAUCUUUUUAAUUUUCAUUUUAAUAAUUUCCACCAUUUGCUACCUCUAUUGCUUGCAGGUAAGGGAAAGGCAAGAACACACAGUGCUACUUCAGUUAGUGAAUCGACACAUUAACUCUUCAUUUCCUGCAGACACUCAGUAAUUUCAUGUUUUUUAUUCCUUUUUCAUAUCAAAGGAAUUAUUGAUCACUGUACGGAUUACACCCUGGAAAGAGUAAUCUGCAGUGGUGAUGUUUUUUUUUACUUACUGAAAAUUUGAGAACACUUCAAUGCCUCCAUUGCUUGCUUUUGUGGAAAUUAUUGUGAGUAAAUUACAAUGUCUUAUCAUCUUGACCCUUUUUUUCAAAAUACAAAGUUCUCAGAAUACACAGAAGCUGACAAAUAAACAUUUGUACCAAUUCUUAGUUAUAUAUUUUUAAUUUCAACUCGAGGGAUGACAGUUGUUUCAAAGAAGAUUUAGUGAUGAAGGUAACUUGACCAAAAUCUGAAAUUAGAAUAUCGUAAAUCAUUGUAAGGAUAUUCAGCUUCAGAAAUGGCUUCCUGUGAGGAAAGUGAAUCCUGUUUCAGGUCUGUACUAUUCUGGACAUAGAAUUAAUGAAACCUCCAUAGUUUUAAAGAAAACAACUCCUGGAGCACUGGAGG